Molecule: long non-coding RNA, 501 nt
Organism: Dreissena polymorpha
Lineage: Eukaryota; Metazoa; Mollusca; Bivalvia; Myida; Dreissenidae
Exons: 5
Source: RefSeq, a predicted model, not a curated record
GUAGGGAAAACAUUCUUGUAUACUACAAAUUCAGUGUUUUGCUUAUAUGUUGGAGACUACAUGAGAUUUUGACAGAUGGCGGAAAACCCUCAUCAACUGGAGAUCAGCCGGUAAAAAGGUAGAGGAAUGUCUGCGACUAAGCCGAGGGCCACUGCAUAAGGGUUAUUGAUGGCAAAACAGGUUGGAGACUACAUGACAUUUUGACAGAUGGCGGGAAACCCUCAUCAACUGGAGAUCAGCCGGUAAAAAGGUAGAGGAAUGUCUGCGACUAAGCCGAGGGCCACUGCAUAAGGGUUAUUGAUGGCAAAACAAGUUGGAGACUACAUGAGAUUUUGACAGAUGGCGGGAAACCCUCAUCAACUGGAGAUCAGCCGGUAAAAAGGUGGCCUUAAAACAGUGACCGUUGAUUCGCGUCGAGUUCUUUCUUACAUACUGUAUGACCUAUCUUUUUUAUUGUUUAAAUCCAUUCGGCUUGGCAUGCUCUUUAAGAAAAGGUAUGGG